This 254-nucleotide ribosomal RNA is filed under the name uncultured bacterium. Its description in RNAcentral is "partial 16S ribosomal RNA". It matches the Rfam family "Bacterial small subunit ribosomal RNA", at positions 524 to 776 of the family's 1533-position model. The record is from RNAcentral.
UACGUAGGGUGCGAGCGUUGUCCGGAAUUAUUGGGCGUAAAGAGCUUGUAGGCGGUUUGUCGCGUCUGCCGUGAAAAUCCGAGGCUCAACCUCGGACUUGCGGUGGGUACGGGCAGACUAGAGUGUGGUAGGGGGAGACUGGAAUUCCUGGUGUAGCGGUGAAAUGCGCAGAUAUCAGGAGGAACACCGAUGGCGAAGGCAGGUCUCUGGGCCACUACUGACGCUGAGAAGCGAAAGCGUGGGGAGCGAACAGG